UGCAGUCGACGAUGAUCCGGUGCUUGCACCGGGGAUUAGUGGCGAACGGGUGAGUAACACGUGAGUAACCUGCCCUUAACUCUGGGAUAAGCCUGGGAAACUGGGUCUAAUACCGGAUAUGACUGAUCAUCGCAUGGUGGUUGGUGGAAAGCUUUUUGUGGUUUUGGAUGGACUCGCGGCCUAUCAGCUUGUUGGUGAGGUARUGGCUUACCMAGGCGAMSACGGGUAGCCGGCCUGAGAGGGUGACCGGCCACACUGGGACUGAGACACGGCCCAGACUCCUACGGGAGGCAGCAGUGGGGAAUAUUGCACAAUGGGCGCAAGCCUGAUGCAGCGACGCCGCGUGAGGGAUGACGGCCUUCGGGUUGUAAACCUCUUUCAGUAGGGAAGAAGCGAAAGUGACGGUACCUGCAGAAGAAGCGCCGGCUAACUACGUGCCAGCAGCCGCGGUAAUACGUAGGGCGCAAGCGUUAUCCGGAAUUAUUGGGCGUAAAGAGCUCGUAGGCGGUUUGUCGCGUCUGCCGUGAAAGUCCGGGGCUCAACUCCGGAUCUGCGGUGGGUACGGGCAGACUAGAGUGAUGUAGGGGAGACUGGAAUUCCUGGUGUAGCGGUGAAAUGCGCAGAUAUCAGAGGAACACCGAUGGCGAAAGCAGGUCUCUGGGCAUUAACUGACGCUGAGAGCGAAAGCAUGGGGAG
Molecule: ribosomal RNA, 696 nt
Filed under: Pseudarthrobacter oxydans
Lineage: Bacteria; Bacillati; Actinomycetota; Actinomycetes; Micrococcales; Micrococcaceae
Description: bacterial SSU rRNA
Rfam family: Bacterial small subunit ribosomal RNA
Source: RNAcentral